GUUCGGCCAGUACGGGCGCGUCGUCGCCGGGGGCGGCGACGCGCACGUACCCGGCGAGCGCCAGCGGUUCGACACCGGAGCCGCGCA
This 87-nucleotide transfer RNA is filed under the name Streptomyces sp. F-1. Its description in RNAcentral is "tRNA-Pro". The record is from RNAcentral. Lineage: Bacteria; Bacillati; Actinomycetota; Actinomycetes; Kitasatosporales; Streptomycetaceae.